AUGGCCCCGUUUCCCAUCCUGUGGGGCUGGGUUCUCAUGGCUGCAGUGAGCACAGCUCAGAGGCCAGACGCCGACGCAAGCUUGGUGGAGCAAAGCCCCAGGUGGGUCCUGGUACCUCGCGGGCAGGCUGAAACCCUGCGCUGCAUCCUGAAGGAUUCCCAGUACCCCUGGAUGAGCUGGUACCAACAGGAUCUCCAGGGGCAGCUACAGGUGCUGGCCAGUCUGCGGAGUUCUGGGGAUGAGGAGGUCAUAUCCCUUCCUGGAGCAGAUUACCGGGCCACGCGGGUUGGUGACAGAGAGCUGAGCCUACACGUGGCCAACGUGACCCAGGGCAGAACCCUAUUCUGCGCCUGCAGUAAAGACACGGUGAGACAUCCUUCUUGGGCAAAUGAAUAA
This is a non-coding RNA of Balaenoptera ricei (Rice's whale), 396 nucleotides long. Lineage: Eukaryota; Metazoa; Chordata; Mammalia; Artiodactyla; Balaenopteridae. The record is from the annotation of a RefSeq genome assembly.